Molecule: long non-coding RNA, 525 nt
Filed under: Mytilus galloprovincialis (Mediterranean mussel)
Lineage: Eukaryota; Metazoa; Mollusca; Bivalvia; Mytilida; Mytilidae
Source: RNAcentral
GGCCUUAUUCAUAUCAUCAGGGUUUUAUUGGUAUUAUUAAAUUCUUCACCGAUAAAAUGAUGCAUGUAUGAUUAAAUACAGUUAUUGACUUCUACCCUACGUCAUUUGAUGUCUGGUGAAGAGUUGUCUCAUUGGCAAUUAUACCAAACUUCUUAUUUUUAUACAUGUAUAAAAGCAAGGUAUGAUCUGGGCCGCAUUCAAUAUUGUAGCUGCUACGUAGUGCUACGUAGAUUUUGACUAUUGAACGUGUAGCUAUAGACUAGCUACUACAUAGAUAUUCAUAGCAGCUACGUAGCCACUACGUAGCUGCUACGAUAAUGAACUAAACCCUGACUACGUAGCUGCUACGAUAAUGAACUAAACCCUGGUCUUAUGUAAACAGAAUAAUUUAGUGAGAUGACAACAUGUAGAAUGCCUAUCCGAAACUCUUUUAAAACGGUCACUUGAUUGUAGUGCUUAAUAUAAUAUGAACAUACUCUUUCACAGGAUAAAAAGGAAACAUGGUUAUUUCCUCAAUGAGGCAAC